RNAcentral lists this ribosomal RNA (1032 nucleotides) under Actinotalea fermentans. RNAcentral describes it as "bacterial SSU rRNA". It matches the Rfam family "Bacterial small subunit ribosomal RNA", at positions 78 to 1123 of the family's 1533-position model. Lineage: Bacteria; Bacillati; Actinomycetota; Actinomycetes; Micrococcales; Cellulomonadaceae. The record is from RNAcentral.
GCUUGCUCUUUCUGAUCAGUGGCGAACGGGUGAGUAACACGUGAGCAACCUGCCCCUGACUCUGGGAUAACCCCGAGAAAUCGGAGCUAAUACCGGAUACGAGACGCACAGGCAUCUGUAGCGUCUGGAAAGAUUUAUCGGUCAGGGAUGGGCUCGCGGCCUAUCAGCUAGUUGGUGAGGUAGUGGCUCACCAAGGCGACGACGGGUAGCCGGCCUGAGAGGGCGACCGGCCACACUGGGACUGAGACACGGCCCAGACUCCUACGGGAGGCAGCAGUGGGGAAUAUUGCACAAUGGGCGCAAGCCUGAUGCAGCGACGCCGCGUGGGGGAUGAAGGCCUUCGGGUUGUAAACCCCUUUCAGCAGGGAAGAAGCGAAAGUGACGGUACCUGCAGAAGAAGCGCCGGCUAACUACGUGCCAGCAGCCGCGGUAAUACGUAGGGCGCAAGCGUUGUCCGGAAUUAUUGGGCGUAAAGAGCUCGUAGGUGGUUUGUCGCGUCUGCUGUGAAAACCCGAGGCUCAACCUCGGGCUUGCAGUGGGUACGGGCAGACUAGAGUGCGGUAGGGGAGACUGGAAUUCCUGGUGUAGCGGUGGAAUGCGCAGAUAUCAGGAGGAACACCGAUGGCGAAGGCAGGUCUCUGGGCCGCAACUGACACUGAGGAGCGAAAGCAUGGGGAGCGAACAGGAUUAGAUACCCUGGUAGUCCAUGCCGUAAACGUUGGGCACUAGGUGUGGGGCUCAUUCCACGAGUUCCGUGCCGCAGCUAACGCAUUAAGUGCCCCGCCUGGGGAGUACGGCCGCAAGGCUAAAACUCAAAGGAAUUGACGGGGGCCCGCACAAGCGGCGGAGCAUGCGGAUUAAUUCGAUGCAACGCGAAGAACCUUACCAAGGCUUGACAUAUACCGAAAACUCGUGGAGACACGGGGUCCGCAAGGGCGGUAUACAGGUGGUGCAUGGUUGUCGUCAGCUCGUGUCGUGAGAUGUUGGGUUAAGUCCCGCAACGAGCGCAACCCUCGUCCUAUGUUGCCAGCG